GACGAACGCUGGCGGCGUGCCUAAUACAUGCAAGUAGAGCGAAGCGGCGGAUGGGUGAGUAACGCGUGGGUAACAUGCACAUAAGUCUGGGAUACCAUUUGGAAACAGAUGCUAAUACCGGAUAAUACAGGAUGGACCUGCGAUGCAUUAGCUAGUGGGUAAGGUACCGGCGUACCAAGGCGAUGAUGCAGAGCCGGGUUGAUCGACUGAUCGGCCACAUUGGGACUUAGACACGGCCCAAACUCCUACGGGAGGCAGCAGUAGGGAAUCUUCCACAAUGGACGAAAGUCUGAUGGAGCAACUCCGCGUGAGUGAAGAAGGUUUUCGGAUCGUAAAGCUCUGUUGUUGGUGAAGCGGUAAUCAACCAGAAAGUCACGGCUAACUACGUGCCAGCAGCCGCGGUAAUUC
This 408-nucleotide ribosomal RNA is filed under the name uncultured bacterium. RNAcentral's name for it is "partial 16S ribosomal RNA". It matches the Rfam family "Bacterial small subunit ribosomal RNA", at positions 28 to 526 of the family's 1533-position model. The record is from RNAcentral.